Molecule: long non-coding RNA, 526 nt
Filed under: Ananas comosus (pineapple)
Lineage: Eukaryota; Viridiplantae; Streptophyta; Magnoliopsida; Poales; Bromeliaceae
Description: long non-coding RNA (ACOM_LNC023687)
Source: RNAcentral
GAAAUGUAUACGAACAUUUUGAUCAACCAGAAGUAUACUAGAUAUUUUCAAAGUUUUAAAAAAUAUAUUAGAUAUUAUUCCUAUAAAAAUACUUGUACGGACCAGUGAACAUACACAAUGAUUAACAUAUAGGAGAGGUUUCUAUUUAUUUAUCUUUUACUACUAUUCAAAAUUAAAAUUAAAGGAUACUAAAUUGAAUAUUCGAUAAAUUAUAGGUGGGAUAUUUGAAAAUUUUGGUAUAUGAUUUAAUAAAAAGUUAACAGAAGGGAUGACGAAAAGUGAAAAAUAAAAUUACAUGAUACUAAAUUGAUACACUUUACUAAAAUAAAAAAGUUCGAUUUGAAAAUUUUGGUAUACAAUUUAAUGAAAAGUUAACAGAAGAAAUGGCGAAAACGAAAAAUUAAAUUACAUGAUACUAAAUUGAUACACUUUAUUAAAAUAAAAAAGUUUGAAAUUACGGGGUGGGAUUUAAAGUUUAGUUUAAUUUUUAAUUUUUUUACGUAAAGAAUGUGGGGACUUGGAGUAU